CAUCCCAUCAGUUAUUAAGUAGGGUAAGGGCCUACUUAGACGAAGACGGGUACGGGGAAUUAUCGUUUGAUUCCGGAGAGGGAGCCUGAGAGACGGCUACCGGGUCCAAGGACAACAGCAGGCGCGAAAAUUACCGCAGCCUGCGAUCAGGGCGGUAGUAAAAAGACGUGAUGACGAAGUGCUGAUAAAAGCUGCACUAGUGACAGGAGGAAAAGACUGGUGCCAGCACCCGCGAUAAUACCAGCUCCUGGAGUGUCUAUGAUGAUUUCUGCAGUUAAAGAGUUCGUAGCCGAGGCAUUAUUAACUGCGUUAAAGGGGAUAUCUCAAAUAUCCCUGUGCGCAGUGAUUUUGCAGAAUAAGGAGUGCUUAGGGGCCAGAGUAUCAUACGGCGACUGGUGAAAUGGGAUGACCCGUGUGGGAGUAACAGAGGCGAAAGCGCUGGCCAGGGGCGAGUCCGAUGGUAAAGGACGUAGGCUAGAGGAUCGAAGACGAUUAGAGACCGUUGUAGUUCUAGCAGUAAACGAUGCCGAUGUUGUGGUGCCGAAUAAUGGCGACGCGAAAGAGAAAUCGAGUAGGGCCCUGGGGAGAGUACACGCGCAAGCGAGAAAUUUAAAGGAAAUUGACGGAAGAACACCACAAGGAGUGGAGUGUGCGGCUUAAUUUGACUCAACGCGGGACAACUUACCGGGCCCGACGACCGUAAGAGUGUAACACACGAUAGGUCGAAGAGUGGUGCAUGGCCGUUAACGACGAGUGGAGUGAUCUUUGGGUUAAGUCCGUAAAUUAGUGAGACCUCAGCCGUAAGGGACAGGUGCGCAAAGCACAGGAAGGAUGGGUCAAGGACAGGUCAGUGAUGCCCUUAGAUGGUCCGGGCUGCACGCGCACUACAGUGGUCGCCGGAAUUGCCUGAUAAUUAUAAAGGCGAUCGAGAGGGAAUGAGCUUUGUAAGAGGCUCAGGAACGAGGAAUUGCUAGUAAUCGCGGACUCAUUAAGACGC
This 997-nucleotide ribosomal RNA is filed under the name Loma embiotocia. Its description in RNAcentral is "SSU rRNA". It matches the Rfam family "Microsporidia small subunit ribosomal RNA", at positions 169 to 1162 of the family's 1311-position model. Lineage: Eukaryota; Fungi; Microsporidia; Glugeidae. The record is from RNAcentral.